This 424-nucleotide ribosomal RNA is filed under the name uncultured prokaryote. Its description in RNAcentral is "bacterial SSU rRNA". It matches the Rfam family "Bacterial small subunit ribosomal RNA", at positions 355 to 796 of the family's 1533-position model. The record is from RNAcentral.
UGGGGAAUAUUGGACAAUGGGGGCAACCCUGAUCCAGCCAUGCCGCGUGCGUGAAGAAGGCCUUGGGUUUGUAAAGCGCUUUCAGCGGGGACGAUGAUGACGGUACCCGCAGAAGAAGCCCCGGCUAACUCCGUGCCAGCAGCCGCGGUAAUACGGAGGGCGCAAGCGUUGUUCGGAAUUACUGGGCGUAAAGCGCGCGUAGGCGGUUUUGUAAGUCGGAUGUGAAAUCCCCGGGCUUAACCUGGGAACUGCAUUCGAUACUGCUUAACUAGAGUAUGGUAGAGGGAAGUGGAAUUUCCGGUGUAGCGGUGAAAUGCGUAGAUAUCGGAAGGAACACCAGUGGCGAAGGCGACUUCCUGGGCCAAUACUGACGCUGAGGUGCGAAAGCGUGGGGAGCAAACAGGAUUAGAUACCCCCGUAGUCC